AUUGUUGUAUUAUGUAAACAAAAAAUCUUUUUUCAUGGAAAAAAAGAAAAUAUUUUGAUUUUUCAUAGGAGUGUUCAAACAAAUCAUAUUUUUCAGGUCAUGUGCCAGUGAUUUCAAGUGUUAAAGAUGGCUUUUUCUUCUUUCAUGGAGUCCUCAGUUCUGGUCAUUUUAUACAUUAGAGUGAGGUUCUCAGAAUUUCUAACAGCACUCUGCAGUAGUGAGGACCAUCUGUUUCUGUGUGUGUGCAUAUGUGAAAGAAAAUUUGUUAAAAUUUAAAUUUUAGCUUCAUAGUAAGAAAUGUUUCUCCUGCUUCUUAGACAUCCUUGAACUUAAAGACAUAUUAAGGGUUUUCCAAUACUAAAUACUCUGUUGGCAUAUGAUUUUACAAAACUUGAGGAUCUUUUGCUGAAGUUUGAUUAUUCAUUUGGUCUAAGGGACAAAAAUUUGAGGGAAAGAAGGGGAAAGCUAUAUAAUAUAAUACCAUAAUAGUAUAAAUAAUAUAAUAUUAUGUAUGUUAUAAUAUGACUACCAAAGCAAAAUAGCUGGUCACAUUUGGUCAGGAAGAGCCCAAACAAUACUAAAUGACAACAAAAAUAAUGUUGAUUUGUUAAUAACAUCAAAAUGUUAAUCUUAAUUGCUCUUAGCAGUUAUGUUUCGCCAAUAUGUACAGCUUAAUCCUUGUUCUGCUAUUUGACAAUACAGUAUAUACAUAUAUCUGCUGAAAAGGUACUUGGAAAUAUGAUAAAAUUGCUAUGUGUUUAAGACUGCAAUGUAUUUUUACAAUGCAUCAGUGUGACCAGUAUGAAAUAGACAAAUCAGUAUAAAAUCUCUAUAUUCACCUUCCCACCUCUGACUACCCUGUGUUGUGCUGUGGGCAGCACAUGCUCCUCUGUAGUGGAAAAAAGUAGUCUUUGGAUCUUUGGAUGUUCAGCCUCAUACAUACCAUAUAUUCUUCCUGUAUUUACCUGUGGAAUAUUAUUUUGAUUAACAACCUGCACUUUUUGUUUUAAAAUUUUAAAUUAAAUUCCUCAUAUAUCUUACUGAGAGAUCUUUAUUUCUAUUCUUUCUUGAACUGUGUUCCCAUGCCACAGCCAGAGAUCAACAGAGUGUAAUCUCAGAGCCUUGGAGCUGCUCCUGGUAAUUUUUUUCCUGUGAAGAAACUCACCUUAUGUCUCUAUCGCUCUGAAUUUCUCUUUUGCAGUAUGGAUGUACAUAUUGGCCUAGAGCUGUAGGCUUCAGAGUUUAUCUGCCACUUAUCCUUUGCCCUGAUACCAUG
This 1276-nucleotide long non-coding RNA is filed under the name Cyanistes caeruleus (blue tit). Its description in RNAcentral is "lncRNA (ENSCCEG00000012365.1)". The record is from RNAcentral. Lineage: Eukaryota; Metazoa; Chordata; Aves; Passeriformes; Paridae.